RNAcentral lists this ribosomal RNA (323 nucleotides) under uncultured eukaryote. Its description in RNAcentral is "partial 18S ribosomal RNA". It matches the Rfam family "Eukaryotic small subunit ribosomal RNA", at positions 1470 to 1796 of the family's 1831-position model. The record is from RNAcentral.
CCCUUAGAUGUUCUGGGCCGCACGCGCGCUACACUGACGAUGGCAACGAGUUUUUCCUUCGCCGAAAGGUGUGGGUAAUCUUUUGAAACAUCGUCGUGCUGGGGAUAGAUUAUUGCAAUUAUUAAUCUUGAACGAGGAAUUCCUAGUAAACGCAGUUCAUCAAACUGCAUUGAUUACGUCCCUGCCCUUUGUACACACCGCCCGUCGCACCUACCGAUUGGAUGGUCCGGUGAAGCCUCGGGAUUGUGGCGGUUGCCUUUAUUGGUGGCCGCCGCGAGGACUUGUCUAAACCUUAUCAUCUAGAGGAAGGUGAAGUCGUAACA